AUUGUUUGUUGUUGCUUGCUUGUUUUUGAAGGAAUAAAACUAUGAGAGCUAAAGUUGUGUUUCAAAAGAAGAAAAAUAUUCUAAUAAUCAAGAAUGCCCAGAAAUUGAAUGAUUUGCAUAAGCACUUCUUGGAAACUUGGUAGGAGGGAUUCCUCUCCAGACUGCCACUGAAUCACAAGAUCUCUUACCCCAUCCCAAAGACAUGGGAUAUUUUCUCCAUCUUUUCCUGAGUGAUUGGAGGUGAGGUGUAAAGGGUCAGAUUGAUAGGAGAUUCCCAAGAUGCCCAACUAUCAUUCAAAACAUCUGCCUCAAUGAGGUGCCCAGUCUUGGCCAAGCCUGCAAGAAGUAACAUGAAGAAUCCUUGUAGGGAAGGAAGAAGAAUCAAAAAGAAUCCCAAGAUCUGCCAGCUUCUAGAGCCAAUGAGCCUCCCGCACAGAGAGAAAACUGAGGGACUA
This 455-nucleotide long non-coding RNA is filed under the name Monodelphis domestica (gray short-tailed opossum). Its description in RNAcentral is "lncRNA (ENSMODG00000034621.2)". Lineage: Eukaryota; Metazoa; Chordata; Mammalia; Didelphimorphia; Didelphidae. The record is from RNAcentral.